CUUCCACUGAGAAGAUAGUGGCGAACGGGUGAGUAACACGUGGGUAACCUGCCCAUAAGAGGGGGAUAACAUCCGGAAACGGGUGCUAAUACCGCAUAGUUUUCUUGAUCGCAUGAUCGGGAAAGGAAAGACGGCCUUUGUGCUGUCGCUUAUGGAUGGACCCGCGGCGUAUUAGUUAGUUGGUGAGGUAACGGCUCACCAAGACGAUGAUACGUAGCCGACCUGAGAGGGUGAUCGGCCACAUUGGGACUGAGACACGGCCCAAACUCCUACGGGAGGCAGCAGUAGGGAAUCUUCCGCAAUGGACGAAAGUCUGGACGGAGCAACGCCGCGUGAGUGAAGAAAGGGUUUUCGGAUCGUAAAACUCUGUUGUCAGAGAAGAACAAGUUGGAGAGUAACUGCUCCAGCCUUGACGGUAUCUGACCAGAAAGCCACGGCUAACUACGUGCCAGCAGCGGC
Molecule: ribosomal RNA, 459 nt
Filed under: uncultured bacterium
Lineage: Bacteria
Description: bacterial SSU rRNA
Rfam family: Bacterial small subunit ribosomal RNA
Source: RNAcentral